CAUGCGUGGGUUUUCUCCGGGCACUCCGGCUUCCUCCCACAGUCCAAAAAUAUGCUGAGGUUAAUUGAUUACUCUAAAUUGUCUGUAGGUGUGAAUGUGAGUGUGAUUGUUUGUCUGUAUAUGUAGCCCUGCGACAGACUGGCGACCUGUCCAGGGUGUCCCCUGCCUUCGCCCGAGUCAGCUGGGAUAGGCUCCAGCACCCCCCGCGACCCGAGUGAGGAUAAAGCGGUGUAUAGAGAAUGGAUGGAUGGAUGGAUGAAUACCCCACAACUCAUUCUACGCAUCAGGCAGGAACAGACUGACAGAGCCAUGGAAGAAACAAAAGUUAGACUUUCUACCACUAAAACUAACGCAGUAUCUGCCUGUGCUGGUUAAAGCAACAACGAACAGCUAAUAAUCAUUAUUCACUCGCACAAAUGCGACCACUUGACCACUUUAACUCGCACACUUUCAAGAAAUGGUCACACCAUUUUGGUCACAGUCUGCAGCCCUGUAUCAUUAAACUGGGACUGUCCCAUUUAACUGCAUGCUUAUUAUUAAAACCUGGUAAUUAAGGUUCUGUAUUUUAACCAAAAUCUCCAUGUUUCUCUAAACGUACACAAAUGGUUUUUAACCAAAAUCUAAAAAAACGGAGGUUGAAAAAAUUCUGUGCCAUAUUACACUCCUGUGGACUGGGUGUGAGGAUGUGUUGGAAAAUGUUCUUGCAUUAAGCUCUGUUCCACCUCUGGAUUAUAUAUAAAAUAGCACUGAGGCCUUUUCUCUAUAUAAUUGGGUAUUUUGGACAUUAUCAACUCAUAAGAGGGCUGUUAGUUAUCACAGAUCAUUCCCCUUUGGGCCAGUUCUGACCUCCACAUUCCUACACCUUCAGUAGUCAUUAUUGCUAUAUUUAAUGGAGGUUGGGAGAGUUGAAUGGUAGCAUAGGUCAGUCUAUUUUAUUAUUUACUCAUAAAUUAAUCAUUUUUUCACUUCAGUCUCAUUUUUACUUUCACGUGAAACUUUCAUUGUUUUUCACUCAUUUCAUUAGAUUUGUCAUUGGCGUUUGGUUCACAUUAGUCACCAAAAGUACUUAGUUAGGUUUAGAAAAUGAUCAUAGUUUGGGUUAAAAUAGACACUGUCACUACUGAACCUCAUUACAAAGCUUCAUUUGUAUAUUUUCAGGUUGACAGGUCAACGAGAGGUUUUACGUGUUGUCUAGUUUCUGUAGAUCGAUGACCAGAAUGGAUGUAACAGUCCAGAGGAAGGUGGAGGAGGUUCCUACUGGGGAACAUCAACAGGCUGGAAAGACUUCAUACAUUUCAACGCCCUAUAAUUUCUUUGCCUGCCCUCACCAACACUGAGGACAGAUGACAGAGGAUGGACAGAGGUGUACAUUUGUGGUCACAGAAACCUUCUGGAGACAGCUGGCUUUAUAUACAGGUUCCUUUUCAAGUGUAUCAAACCCCUGUCUUCGGGGUGUUGGAGUUCCUUAUCCAAAUUCAGUUUAUAGGUAGAUCCGGUUGGAGGAUUUUUUGAGAUUGAGAUUAUAAAACUCUUUGAGAUAGUUCUGUGAUUUUACAGAGCCUGCAAAGCCACAUUUGUUUCAUAUUGUGUGCAGUCUUUUGGUACCAAGAGGGAUACACACAUUUGUAAAAUGGUCUUUGUUAACAAAAUAGAUUCGACCCUACUAAGCAUUUAAAAUCUGUUGAAGUGCAUUGAUCCAGAGUAAGGAGAUUAUUUUUCAAACCGAUAAAAUAAGAGUCCUCUCUGUAGAUUUAAAAUGUGCAGCUGCUUCAUAGACUAUAUGAAGCUGAGAGAAAUUGUCGACCCACAGAGUUUGUUGAGUUUUUACACCCCUAGGAGAGAUGUCUUGUCUGGAGUUAUGGCAGCUCUCAACUAGAAAAAAAAAAAAUUACUUUAUCUCCACAAAGUUCCACUGUGUGCUCUCACAGCAACCUUUACUGUUUUUGCUUUUCCAUUGCAGUCCCAGUGGGGAAGCUGUACAGUUUGUUCUUGAUUUCAAACCUGAUCAUAAGGUGUGCUCUGUGGUCUCUGGCUCUCUGAGUGAGUUAUUUGUGUUCUCACACAGGCUAGGUAACCUGCUCUGUAGUGAAACAUUCAUACUGAGACCAGGCUUUGUCAUUCUUUCUUCAUAUAUUUGUGUUCUUUCCUAAAAUCUCUUCCUCAUACAAGUUUAGAAUUUUGUUGCUAUCUGAUGGGAUGAAUGCAGUGUAUAGAUUUCAUGAAGCUUAAUGCCAGUGUGAAAUGAGUGGGUAUGUACUUUCCUUCGUUCUGUGAAAACUAUUUGAACAUUGCUUUAAAAAUAUAGAUUCUUACUUACUUUCUAGUGAAAUGUAGACACGCGCACACACACACACACACACACACACACACACACACACACACACACACACACACACACACACACACACACACACACACACACACACACACACUCAAAAAUAGAAGCCUUUCUGUGCAGAGGAUUACAAUCGAGGCUAUAUUGAUUUUCUUCUUCCACUCAACACUUUCACAGGAUUGUUGCAGUUUUUGGUGACUGUUUGAAACUCUGCUGGUCAAAUUCUUUCAAACAGAACUACAACAAAAUAGCACAAUACAAACUCAAAGUAGAAAUUGCUGUUUUGAAAUUGCAUUAAGUGUUUUGACUUAGCUCUGUUAGUAUGAGAAAAGCAUGAUAAUAAACUCAGUUAAUAAAAGACAGGCUGGUCUCCUGGUUUCCUCCUGAACUGGACAGUGAAGAGUCUGGGCAGCAGCCCGAAGCUGAGGAACAUAAACACUGGUUAGUAUUUAGGUAUUAAAUGACUGAAUGCACAGAAGUGCAUGUGGAAGUCCCUACAUGACAAGAUCUAUGAAAUCUGUCUGUCAUUAUUUUGCUUAUUUCAAUUCUGAUUUCAAAUAAACUGGUACUGAACGUACAAUAACAACAUAUGUAUAUGUUUAGAUAAAAUAUCCAGUUUCCAAGUACAAUAUCCAGUUGUAAAGAGACUACAGCAUCGCUCAACUUUGAACUUUUUUUCCCACUAAGAUUAGACGCUGUCAGUCCUUGCACCAUUUUCAUGUUGUCCUGCCUGUUCAGAGUUGCAAACAAAGGGAUAGCAUUGUUUUCCAUUUGAGCCUGUAAAAAACAAUGAGGUACACAUGAUGACAAUCUGGCAGGUCUGUUUGUUUCAUGUACUGAUUUGACAAAAGUUUCAGAGAAAGCUUCAGUUGAUGUUGAAUACUUGGUUGUAUUAUGCUUUUACAAUGCACCAACUUUUUAAAGUCAUUGAAACAUAAAAAAAAAACAUUUGACAAGAUUCCAUCAUCAACAUAACUGACACCCCUACAUUUCUACAAAAGGCAAUGUUUGCUUCACCAAUUCCAACUUAAUUUUCAAAAGUCUUAUGUAUAUAUGUGAGACUACAAAGUAGACUUGGACAUCACAAAAUUUCAAGUCCUGCAAUGAGAAAUCAUCAGAUGACACAGUUAUAUAGCUGCCAGUAACAUGUUGUCAGAACAGUGGUGUACUGUGACAUGUAGUGAUGGGUACUGAAAUGGAAAUUAAACGACCCCGCUGGGCAAAAUUAUUAACGACUGGAGGAUUGAUAAGCUCUACAAUAUUAGUUGUACUCGACAUGGUACAGAAUAUAUUAAGAAAAUAAAUUUCUUAUUUAUUAUACUACAUAAAUACUAUUUUGUCUCUGUCUACAUUUCUUUUCCCCAACUCUAUGAUACAAAAGAGAGUUCUCUUUGUGCCAGGAACAGCACCAGCUCUCUCUCAAAAACUGAAGUACUGUACAGGACACACACACACACACACACACAUUUCUGGUUUGCCAUACACACACACACACGCACGCACGCACGCACGCACGCACGCACGCACGCACGCACGCACGCACGCACGCACGCACGCACAGUUACACACGCACAGUCACACACCAUAGUGAAAAAAUAGCGAGAAAUAAAUAAAGCGUCUACACACUUCUGUAGAAUUGAGUUUAAUCACGUUUUUGCAUGUAAGAGUAGAUACACAACAGUGUCAUGCAAAGAUAUACAAGAGAAAAUGAAUUUGCCAUAUUGUUUUUUAGGUGUUUUUUGAAUAUAAUGUAAAAUCUAAACUGCAAUUUCAUUCAGAUUGAAGUUUCUGGUUUUUAUUCCAUUCAACCCCUAAAGUCCUUCAAUCACUCUUCCCCUGACAUUUAUUAGAGUGAUGAUAUUUGGUGCUGCAGCUUUGACUUUGGCCACAGUAAAUUAAAACUAUCCUGUAACGGUUAAAGAACACACCCAUUAACUCAGUAAACUGGUGCUUAACUCCACUAAAUCAAAAUUCAUGCUGUUCAAAAGAUCCACAGACAGAUUCUAGUCAUUUCAACAUGUCCACAGUGACAGGGUCACAGAAUGCAAAAUGUUGGUAUAAAGCUCUUAGAGAAAUGUACAGUGAAAUAUCUUAUUGACAAUCUGUGACUGAUGCUUGGCCUUUACAAUUCAGCUUUACUCUGAGAUGUAAAAAAGAUGUUUUACUCUCAGGUCUAGAUUAGAUGUCACAUAGACACACUGCUGCCUCCACUUUUAUUCUUGUCUUCAUUCAGCUCUUUGGGUCAUUACUGGAGAUAAUUACACUGCAUGCAGAUGUAAUAUCCAUUUGAAUCUAUUUACAUAAAAAUACCAAUCUGAAAAUUGCUGUUUUACAUUUUAUUUUAUGCAGUGCUACAACGUUGGUGUAAAGUGAAUUGAAGCUACCUGACCUUCUUUAAAAAAAGACUGCUUUCAUCAAUAAAUAGAAUAACGUGUGGAAUAACAUGAGCGCAUAUAAAAUCUGAAACUCCCAAUCAGUCCCAACAUUAAAUCCACAGACUGGUGUAGUGUUUCACAUUGAUCACCUUGUUGCAAUCUAAUGUUCUGCAGGGAAACACAACAAAGAGCUCAAGCUGUUGACUUUACCUCCAAACUCCCCAGAUCCCAACCCAACUGAGCAUCCAUAGAAUGUGCUGGAACAAACUCAGUCCACGGCUUCCCACCCACUGCCCACAGGAUCUGAAGGAUCUACUGCCAGCGUCCCAGUGCCAGACAUUCAUGGCAUUACUGGUUCAAGGCAGCUUGAGGGGGACCUACACAGUAUUAGGCAGGUGAUUUUAAUGUUGUGGCUCAUCAGUGCAAUCUCCACUCUGUAUCUGCCAUUAUCUAAGCUUCUGCUGUGUUAAUAUUCUGUUUGUGUCUGCUCUUGUCACAUUAUUUGAUUAUUUUUCACUGUACCUGCCCAAAAGGGCAUUGCUGUAUAACAGCACGCACCGAACACUCAGCCAGCCCUCUCUGUAUAAAUAAAGGUACAACUACAAGUUUGUGCUGCAAACUUUUCCUGUGCCAGCAGUAAUCUGCAGAUGGUGGCAUGAAAACCAGCAUGUGUUAAAGCAGUUGCCACCGAGCAGAAUAAUGUACCAUCUGUUGAAACACUGUCACCCCACUGCUUUGUUUGGCUCCCAGCAAAUAUUUUGACAUUGAAUCGCUGUUGAUAAGACGGCCUGCACCAACGCUGAAAAUGAAAAUCGAGAUGACAUCUGUAGUCGGCUGCUUCCUGUAACAGAAUCUAAAUACAGAAUCAUUCUGAUUUCAGCCCAAAACUGUCCCGAAUAGCUGGUGUAAUAGGACUUUUUAUUAUCAUCUUGUGAUAUCAUAUCUUUUCAAAGCCAAGCUUGAUGAUGCUGAACAGGGACACCCCCGGAUCAUUACUGUCUGUGAUCAACUUGUCAUUUUAAUUAGGUCUUUAUCAUCAGAUCUUCUAAUAGAGAUACCUGGAAGAUCCUGAGUGUCAUUUUGUGGCUAACGAUGCUGCCACUCUAGAUGGACACACAAAUAAGUGUAUAGUCUGAAUGCACUCCACUUGUAAUGGAUAAAUGAAAGCUAUAAAGACGACAAGAGGGAAUGCAGUAAAACGUGCUGCUUAUAUAGUCUGGCACUGCCUGUCCACAGUUUUUUUUUCACUCAUUUAAUGCCGCACGGAGAAGCUCAACAGGCAUUCAUGUGAGAAAAUGUAUUUUAACUGGGCUAUAUAAUCUGUUAUUGUCUUCUUACUCCUUCAGUCAGAGCACAAACUUCCAUUCGUUCAAUUCACUGUAGUCUCACUGGCCCACUUUUCUGAUUGUCAGAGAUGAGAAACAGCAGCAAAUUUUAAGCAAAAGCGUCAAUGUAAUAACAGAAUCCUGGUUUGAUUUCCAACCUUAUUUAAGGUGCACCACUCAUUUAAAAAAAACAAAAA
Acanthochromis polyacanthus (spiny chromis) is the source of this 6232-nucleotide long non-coding RNA. RefSeq lists it as uncharacterized. Lineage: Eukaryota; Metazoa; Chordata; Actinopteri; Pomacentridae. The transcript has 2 exons. The record is from RefSeq and is a predicted model, not a curated record.